This is a non-coding RNA of Pogona vitticeps (central bearded dragon), 5977 nucleotides long. Lineage: Eukaryota; Metazoa; Chordata; Lepidosauria; Squamata; Agamidae. The record is from RefSeq and is a predicted model, not a curated record.
GACCAUGACGGCGACGACGACAGCCCCGGUUCCCGCCGAGCGAGAUUUCAUAUUCAGAGCACCCAUCACAAUAAGCAAACCUGGAGAACUUCACGAGGAAUAUAAAAGUCAGCUGCGGAAGUGGAGGGGUGACCGAGGGCAAGAAGAGAGACCCGCUGAGGAUUGUAUUCACAAGCUGAUUGUAGAGGAGAGUGACGCUGGGAGGAAGAAGACAGAAGAUCUGGAGUCCUUAACUGUCAAAAUGACCCAAGAACAUUUUCCAGAACGCCUCUCUGAUUCUGAGAACGAGGAACCGUUCCACGGCAAAUCUGCCCACCGGUCAGCGUUUGUCUCCAAAGGAAACUCCUACUCUGUGGCAUUGCUGGCAGGAAACCUAACGGCUAAAGUAGAAAGGAGCCAGAGUUGCAAUGAUACCCUCGGGGAGAGAUCGAAGAGCCGGCAGAGAGCAGCGUCAGUCAGAGCAAAGGUCCACCCACUAACCGGUGGAUCAGCCCCUCUUCUCGGAGUUCUGUCAUCCACGCAGAACAAUCGCUGCCUUUCGGCCCCAGACCUGACGGCGGACAAGCGCUUUGUUCUCCCCGGCGCUGCUUCCUUUUCUCUCCUCCCAAAGCCUGAGCGGUCCGUUAGCCCCGAGAGCAACGACAGUAUCUCGGAAGAGCUCAACCACUUCAAACCCAUUGUGUGCUCCCCGUGCACACCUCCCAAGCGGCUUCCCGACGGCCGGGUUUUGAGCCCUUUAAUUAUCAAGUCUACUCCGCGGAAUCUGACCAGGAGUCUGCAGAAGCCGACCACCUACGAAGCAAGCCCUCGGAUUCUGAAAAAAUGGGAGCAGAUCUUCCAGGAUCGCCAGAUGAAAAAGACUCUCUCUAAAGCCACUCUGACCUCCAUGGCCUCAGAGGCAGGAGAGGAUUUCCUGGCCCCGAGUGCAAAUUUGCUCAUCAAAGAGUCUCUGCCAGUUUCCCAGAGCGUGCCACCCAUAGAUCCCCGUGCGCACACCCAGGCUGAGUUAGAGUGUUUCCCUUCCAUCUGUGUAGCAAAACUCGAAAACUCUUGCAAGGCCCGGAGAGGCUCAGCAGUGACGGUCGCUGGCCCUCCGGCCCCUUUGGUGAAACUGAACAAGGACGCCUUGAACGCCAGAACCUCGCAGAUCUCUGAUGCAAAAUCAGUUCUCCACGGGGCUGGCUCUUGUCUCAGCCUUGAUGCCAACCUGGUGAUCCCGAAAGCCGCGAGAGCCGGCACCGGAUUUCCAGACAGGAGUAUCCUGGGCCCCUCUGUCAAGGCCACGGGAAGGAAGCCGCUGAAACGCCCGAGGGACCGCUUCCCAAAUGGCAUCUGUCUUGAGAAGGCCACGGGCGAGGACUCCUCCUCCUCCUCUCUGCGGUGGGGGCGAAAGAGACAGUGCAAAAGGAAGCACCUGGAGCAGGUCGGCUCGGUCAAGCGGCUGAGGCAGGCGGCCGAACCCCCGAGGAGGAAGAGCGAGGCGGAACGGAAGCUGCAGCAGGAGGAGGAGGACCGGAGGCUGGCCUUGGAGCUCCAGCGGAAAUUUGACAGCGAGAACAGGACCGUGAUGAGGCGGAAGGCGCGGGGGGAUCACUAUUUCUUGCGGUCAAAGAGCACUCUAAGUACCAGUAGCGCUUAGGGGGAACCAGGUUUGCCUUGUCUAGCGAAUGUGAAGCGGUCCGAAGGCAUCCGAGAGGGAAGCCAAGCUGGCACGUGACCCUCCGUUCUCACCUGCCCUGCCUGCCUUUCUCUUAGGUGGUCAGAGGAUUGUAAGUCUGGUUCUGGUUGGAGCCAGGCGGGGGUCUUUGCACACACGGCAGCCGCCACACUUGAUCCUUCUGGUCAGAUCUGCUUCUGAGGUUAUGAAUUUCACUGGCAGGACAGGAUCGGUCGUUUGCUCUGAUCAGGAGGGCAUCAGGAGAAUGGCGGUUGCAGGAUGGGUCCCUUUGUAGCUGCCAUUUUUGCAACUUUGGGUGAGUCCCGAUAGGUAUUCAAAAUGCACAGUAUAUUAAUUACUGAGCCUUUGAAAAUACUGAGCCCAAACGAGAGAUGCAUUUGCCCGAGAGAACGUAGUAUAUGGCUGUAGGCACGGCAGUCCAGCGGCCUUUCUUAUGCCAGGGCCCCACCUGUUGGUCCCACGGAGGUGUCGGUUAGAGGAUUGUGUUUUAAAUGGAUAGAUGGCACGUGGAGAUUCUGGAAAAGGUCACUAGGUAGACAGCCUGCUAGGUAGAAGCACAGGGCAACCUUUGCUGGUGCAGCAGGAGAGACGGCACCUGAUUAUCUCCGGCCAGAAGGUUCUUCCUUCGCUUGGUCCAAUCCUGGGCCAUGUUCAGGGAGCCAGAUGGUCCUGGCGGGGUGGGGGUGGGGGGGACACACAGCAGUGAGAGCAAAUCCCAGUGUUAUGGGUAUGUGGAUGUGAUGGCCAGGGAGCAGCAUUGGUUUGCAACACUGCAGUGCUGAUUUCCACUGCCUCUCCCCCCCGCCGCCCCCCAAAAUACAGAUUCCAUACAAUGCCUGAUUCUUAAGUCACUUUUGAAUCCGGAAUAGAAGGUUUGAAUAGAAGAUUAGUCACCGGGUAACUCCUUGCAUAUGGCUCCCUAAAUACACUGGGGAGUGGCAGUGUGGGAGCAACGCCUUCGGGGGGUUCUUAAAAGUCCUGAUGAACUGAAAGUGGCAUGCUAGUUCCCUAUUCUGGAGGCCUCUGUCUAUGUUACCAUUAACGUUCUGGGAGGUGGUGGAAGACAUUGGAAAGAAAUUGAAGUAUUUAGUCUAAACCCAGCGCUAAAGGGAGACAACCGUGGUGGAUUUAGGGCCACAGAAUCUCUGCUUGCAGGCAGAGAAUCUCUAAAAUUCAGCUGCACUUCGGCGGGGGAGGUGUGUGUCACGUGUAGAACCAGCUUUCUUUUGAAACUGGUGGGUUUUGGCCUGAGACCUCCAAGGCUGCCCUUCUCAAGGCCUCCCACUCGUGUCUUGUAUUUUAAUCCUCUUGCCUGCCACCAAGAAAAAGCUUAGCCUGAUUCUUUCAUUCUUGUUCUGCCCGGAGGCAGGAUCCUAGCAGCUUCUUCCCCUCAGCUGUUUGCUUGAAAGUUGGAGCUUUUAAUCUUCUGCCCUCAAGGUAGGGUCGGCUCCAACAGGCUCGGAUCGGAUGCCGGACAGAAAAAAAACAACAACACAAGCUUUCCUCUGUUUGCACCGCUUUUACCUGGAAAGGAGGUUUCUCAGGAGGUGGUCAGCAGAGCUCAUUUCCUGGUGCAGAAUUCAAACAGAAAGCCUUCACCUGGCCUCGAAUUGCCGUGUUUGAAACACCGCCCGGCAACGUGUCUCUCUCCAGAAGUUCUGGGACUCCAGUUCCCAUCAGCUCUACCCAACCUAGCCAGUGGGGGAGGGAUUAGGAGUUGCAGGCCAGCAACUGCUGGAGGGCUUCAGGUUGCCCACCCCGGUUUAUAGGGAUCCUGGUGAAGCACGUCAGUUCAUUGGGUCAGCCUCAGGGCACGGUCGGUGGGUGCUGCUAAAAUGAAAUACUAGAUGGGGAAAGAGAGAAGACGUUUUCAUUCAUGUCAAGCCAGGUUGAUGCCAUACAAGGGGAUGUGGAAGAGCAUCUUAAGAGCAGAUCUGAAGCUUCGCAGAAUUUUGGAAACAAAACUCUAUUCCCAUGGCCAUAAACUGUUUUUCCCCCCAGGAUAUCUUAUGAAAAGAGCUGGCAUCUGUGGCUGCCCUUUAAACCGUUGCCCCCGAGAAAGGAGUGGCCGGCCACCCUGCAUGAAUGGCCUGGAUCCAGAGACCGGCGCUAGUUGUUCCCAGGGCCUGAGGAGCAGCCACCUGUCGGUCUCCUCAAUUUCCACGGGAAAGCCAGGCUCGGGCCGCCCCAUCGCAAACGUCUUGUGAAGCCAGAUCCAGGGGAGGUUUGCCCGCUCACUUAGGGGGGAGGCCAGGGACCCGGCUGUUUGAGGAAGGAGGCUAGGCUUCCUGUGAUCGCCUGCGGAUGGAAGAGGAGCCUGUGUUGGUUGAAAAUACAGAUGGCUCGAGGGUGCCAUAAGUCAGCAAACAAAGGAGCGCUGGUUUGGGCACAGCCCAGGGACCAAAGUCGACAUUGUCACCGUGAGAAAGCUGGUGUUGAGUCAAGGGAAGCCUUUGGGGUCCCUCUCGCCUUGCGCCUGUGGGAAGCAAGCAGGCUCUCCUGCAGGCGUGUAAGCUCCCAAAAAAAGAGGAUCCAGGAGACCCCCAUGGGGGGCACCAAGCCUCUUGCUUUCUCUCAACAGGUCUUUCACAAGGACAGCUCAGCGUUGCAUGUUUUUAAAAGUCUAUCUGGUUUUGGUGGCUGCUGACUAGUCCUGAUGCCAAACACAUAGAGACUGUCAGGCAUAAGAACUGUUGUGUGAUCCUCUCCUGAGCGGGCUAGCAGCUGAAUGUAUUCCGGGGACUCCUUUUAGUCUCUCUGUAGGAGGAUGAAACUAAAUUCUUUUUUAAAACGAUAAAGUUGUUCAUUGCAGGUUAUGGGUUUUCGAAGGAUCCAAGUGGUUUGGCUUAAAAGUUGCAAAACUUGACUGCCACCUAGUAGCCAAAAAAAGGCCUUUGCCAGGUCUGUUCUCAGCUGAACCUUUUCCCAGGGGCUGCUUAAAUAGGGCGGGAGCCUCUGAAACUCACCUGUGCUUUCUCUACUUUUUGAAGAGAGCAGAAGCUGGUUCUUAACUCACUGAGGUCAGGAGGAGUCUCGCCACCCAUAGAACUAAAUGCUAUCUUUCUGCAUCUCAGCUUUUGUCUCUGUAAAACUUGAUUUUCUUUUCCAAAUACAGUUCUGUUUGUAGCCCAGUUGGCUAUGGCUAACGGGCUGCCCCACUUUACGGCACAGCCCUGCUGCCUUAUGGUGGGGCUACGAAAGAGGGUACUUGGACAGUGAAUGAAGGGCGAGUGGGGAUUUUGACAGUCAGUGAAUGAAUGCCUGCAGCCACCAAAGAGGACAGUCCAACUUCGUAAACCCACUCAAGACCUGGGAGAUCGUUUUACGGAAACGUCACAUUCUCCAUGUUCGUUGUAGAUCCGUUGAUGUUGGACAUGAGAAACGAAGGGAAAAGUGCCAAAAAGUUGGAUUCUGGUUAUAUGAUUGUAUUGCAUUUUUAUUCCGUGCCCAGCAGUGUUCUUUCUCGUCUGAGACUUUGCACGUCAUGUCAUGGAGGGGACCGUUCAAGUAAGCACUUUUGAGUCGUGCUCUCGGUGAAAACAGAAGGAGAGGAAAGCCUUAAAAGACUCUACGAUGCAUUUAUAUAAAAAAACAGAAUUGGCCCGGGAGCGUUGCUGCAUCCACCGUCCGCACCCUUUCCUGUUGGGACUCCGGGCAGCUUGGUUCCUUUUCCAUUGGGCCAAGUGGACGAUGCGCUCUUCGGGAAAAUGCGGUCAAAGCGUGGUUUCCAUUCUUAGGGCGCUGGGGGCAGCUUUCCUCGCCCGGGGUUUGAAUGUGGGUGUGAAUGUCUUGUCGAAACACAAGGCUGGUCUGUCAAGUCUCUUCUGCUGAACCUCCCGAAGGGGGUCAGAACUGCACUAGGAUCAACUGAACCGGCGCACUCACCUUUUUGAAUGUUGUAUUCUAGGCGUCCAACGGGAAACACGGCUCUUUCUCCAGCUAUUUUAAAAACACUGCUAGCAGGUGUAGAAUUAGCUAUUCACUAUGCAAACAAAGGAACCAAGAACAACAAAACGGACCACCUUUUGGUUGUAACUGGUGGACUUUUCUUGUAUGCCUGGUUUUUCUGGUGUUUUACUGUCUGUUACAAGGAAAAAUGUACCUUACUGUGUUCUCCUCUCACCUCUUCCAACUCCCAGCCCCCCCCUCCCAGGUAGGCUUUAAAUCAUUUUGUGCUUUGACGUGUAUUCUCGGCUUAGUACUUGAAAGCCAGUCCAAGACAAAACAUCAUUUUCAAGGUUGCAACUGAAUCACUGUGGCUUCAUUGAUAUUUUGAUAAAACAGAUCCGUUUAUUGAGA